UUUCUUUUAGUCUCUUCUUCGUGGUGUUUUGGUGAUAUCUAUGUUUUUAGCAUAGAUAUUUACAGUAUUAUCUUGUGGGUGUCUUGUUUCCUUUAUUAUCUAGCGGUGUGAUAUCCCUCGUUGUUGUUUGCUUUUAUGUAUUUUGUUUGUUAUAUUGUUAUCUGUCCUGAGCCGAGAGUCAAUCGGAAAUAGCUUCUCUGCUUCAUCUGAGA
RNAcentral lists this long non-coding RNA (212 nucleotides) under Capsicum annuum. RNAcentral describes it as "long non-coding RNA (CANN_LNC022601)". The record is from RNAcentral. Lineage: Eukaryota; Viridiplantae; Streptophyta; Magnoliopsida; Solanales; Solanaceae.